CAGUUGACCAUAGUGUUAAGACGUCAUCCGAUGACCAUGGUAUCUGCUAGAGUCAAGCUUCUUAACAAGACAUGGCCUAUUUUGUUUGCUUCUCCGGUUCUCCCAUUUCAAUUUCGUAUCUCCAUUAUGCAGGACAGAUACUCUGUUUCUUAGUUACCUUUCUGAUCUCAUGUUUUACUUUUAGAGCUCAUACCAUAUAUUUAAUCAACAUGUACAAGUAUAUCUUUUUUGACGUAAACUUGCCAGUUUUUAACAUAAGGCUAGACUGCGAGCCAUUUAUUUUGGUUACGUCAAUUACAAUUUACAAAAAAUACAAAUACUCUAUUCUCGAAAAAAAAAGAAAUACAUAUACUCAUGCACAUAUGCUAUGUCGGUAGUGCAAUUGGGCCCCUAUUUUCAUGUCAGUUGAAUGUAAAUAAUUCAGAAUUUGAUGAUUUCUUGUUAAAGCACCUAUAUGACAUAGUUCUUUUGGCCUGAACCUAAAUAACAGGGUUUGAUACUCCCCUUGUUUUGCAUUUUAAUGUUUUUCUGGUCAUAAUAUUCCAAGAACCAGAGGUGGCUGCGAAAAGGCUCUAGAUUCUCUAGUACGACAGUUUCAGGAUCACUUUCACCUCUUUAUAAUUUUGUAGUACAAGGAGCUUAUAGUAGGUUAUUGACUUAUUGUACAGAGUGGAAAGCAAAUGAUGGGUUAUUAUGAAAGCAAGUCCUUGUGUUUGAUGGUUAGGUCAAUUGUAAGUUUCAGAAUACAUUGAAAGAGUCUAAAGAGGGUUCACCUUUAAAAAAGAGUAAUCAUUCUGCUUUAUUGUGACUUCAGUAUAAUCAAAGGCGAGCAACCCUUUCCAUUAUUUUAAAUUCAAGCCGCAAGACAAUUUCGUUUCAGGUGUGUCAUUAUCAAUCAAACCAGAACAUGUGUCGCCCGUCGUAUACUAUGCCAUUAACAUGUUUUAGAAAGCUACCAGGUGCUUGCUUAAGCAGUUGUUCAUGUAACAUACUCGGAACAUGCAUCAAAUUUGAGAUGCUCAAGUUGUUUAUCCUAUAAACUUAAAGGAUGUUGGCAUGCAACAAACAUGAAGUAUAAAAUAUAUACAUAACAGUGAGUGCGCGCAGUUGCUCACACAUACAACUAUUGUCCACAUCACCUUGCAGCAUAAUUUUUUUUGCCUGCAGAUGCGAUUAUAUUUUGUGGUGCAAGUUAGUCAUACUUCCUGUCGUGAGGUGUUACUAGCUCAGCCUGUAGUCAAGCAUGACAAUCUAGAAAGCAGGGAUACUUCAUCUGGGUGAAGAACUGCGUAGGGGAUACUUGGGGGUGCGGGGGUGCGGCGGGGUGCGGCGGGAUACGCACGGGAUACGCCACGUGGCGUAUCGGUGGAGGCAGUGACGGGGAUACGCGGGGGUGCGGGGAUGGGGGUGCGGGAGUGGCACAAAUCGUAAUUUUUAACAACUUUUUUUUUAAAAAAAAAAAACUUAAAAUUAGUUGGUCAAAAUCAUUGAAUCACUUAUAUUGUAAUAGUUAUUUAUGUAUUUUAAUUGUCAAGACUUAAGGAUGACUAAUUUAGUUAUUCCACUAUUUUGUCCUACUUAAAUGCAUCUUAUGAAUUUUAUAUAUAUAUANUAUAUAUAUAUAUAUAUAUAUAUAUAUAUAUAUAUAGGCUCAUGAUCAAAUACAAACUACUCUUAAAAUAAAAACUAAAAACCACAUAUUUACCAAUACACCCACCCCCACCAGUUACCUUUCUCUAACUACAUAUACAUACAGACUUGCAUCCACGUCCCUCUUCUUUCACAUCUCUGUCCCUUUCUCUUUCUCAUCUCCCCUGCUACUCAUCAUCACGCGACCUUAUCAUAACAUUCCUUCCUUGCCGUAGCUGCCACCGUCCAUCAUCCACUAUUGUCACUGCGUCAUCACGCAUACUUCCUCUCUCUCCUCCCCAGAUACUUAAUUAAGCAUGAUUCUCUUAUAGUUAAUUGCUUUCUUCAUAUGUCGUUAUGUCUUGAAUAUUGAAGCCAUGAUUGCUAUUUCAUUUAGUGAAUAACUAAUCAGUAAAGUUGCUUAUUUAAUUACAUAAAUCGUGGUUACUACUGUAUUAGUUAGUGAUUUUCGCUUUGCAAAUUAGUGAUUUGUGCCGUACAAGUUAGUGAUUUUCGCUUUAGAAAUUAGUGAUAUGUGUUGCAAAAAAUGGUGAAAAUCUCCAGAAUUUACUGAAACCUUCAGAUCUGUGCUUGUUAGCCAUUCCGCUGAUAAUAACGAUGAUGGAGAUAGUGGAGGUGGUGGAUAUUGAAGGGCGAGAGCAUGGAGUGGGCGGGGCACGGAAGAGGAGGGUCGGUAGAGGAGGCAGGUGGCAGAGGAGGUGGCUGAGAUGGCGGAGGAGGGAGACACGGGCGGCUGAGAUGGCGGAGGAGGGAGACAAUUUGAUAAGGCUGUGGUUUUAGGCGGUGUAUUAUCACCGGAGCUGUGGAAUACAAUUGGGGUUGCAAUUGAAAGAUGGCGGUGGAGGUGAAGGAAGCGGAGGAGAGGAGGCGGCAGUGGUGGAGGUGAAGGAGGCGGUGGCGGAGAUGGAGGUGGGUGAAGAUGGAGAUGGUUGGGAAGAUGAAGAGGGAGGUGUAGAUAUUAGUGAUAUGUGCUUUAAAAUUUAGUGAUAUUUGAGGUGGGUUUUUAGUUUGUAGAAUAAGGAGGUUUGUAUUAGAGUAAAACUCUAUAUAUAUAUAUAUAUAUAUAUAAUAUAUUUAAUAUUUUAAUAUUUGCCGUAUCCCCCCGCACCCGUAUCCCCAUAUUUUGGAAUUUGACGAAUUCCCGUAUCCACGUACCGCGCACCCACACCCCCGCACCCGCACUCAUGCUUCCUAGAUGACAAUUAUUACCAUAGAUAUGCAUUGGUCUUGUGGUUAACUUAUCAUUUUUAACCUUUCAGGUCGAACAACCUCUUCAUGUUUACCAUGAUCCAG
This 2943-nucleotide long non-coding RNA is filed under the name Daucus carota (carrot). Its description in RNAcentral is "long non-coding RNA (DCAR_LNC001620)". The record is from RNAcentral. Lineage: Eukaryota; Viridiplantae; Streptophyta; Magnoliopsida; Apiales; Apiaceae.